RNAcentral lists this non-coding RNA (45 nucleotides) under Schistosoma mattheei. The record is from RNAcentral. Lineage: Eukaryota; Metazoa; Platyhelminthes; Trematoda; Strigeidida; Schistosomatidae.
AUCCGGCUGACGAGUCCCGAAUAGGACGAAACACGCGUCCUGAAU